Molecule: unclassified non-coding RNA, 210 nt
Filed under: Hevea brasiliensis (rubber tree)
Lineage: Eukaryota; Viridiplantae; Streptophyta; Magnoliopsida; Malpighiales; Euphorbiaceae
Source: RNAcentral
UCACACAUGUUGAGAGCUACCCUCACUAUAUCAUAUUAAAGAGAAGAUCACUACGUAGAGCACAACACCACAUAACAGAAUUCAUCUCUACACAUAUUAUCCUCCACCAUAUUCCAGAGUCCAUCACCAUAUAGAGCAUACAUCACACACCAUCACCCGCAUCUCCCAUAACUACAUCACAACAACAGGAAUCAGCAAACUCAGAUUCAU